CUUAAAUCAUUUAAGGUCUGUGCAUUUACUUUGUGGUCCAUCUAAGUGGAUUUUGAUAAAUAAUACAAGAUUAAAGAUCAUGCAAAGAGCAAUUUGGAUCAUGAUAAAAAGAGAUGCAUCACAAAAACGUCUUCUAGUAAUUACACAUACCUUUUUGAACUCAACAUUCUACACCCUAUUUACAUUUUGUAGUGCACAUUGGUCUUGCUUUAAGCAGUUUUAUAAAAAAAAUUGCAGUUGGAAAAUCGCUAAAGAUGUUUGACAUGAUAUUUUCCCUACUGCCAUUUUUUUCCCCACCGCUUCUAAGCUUUUCCUUGCCAAUUAUUAUUCUGAAACAAAUCCAGCAGUCCGUCAGGUGCCAAAUGACCGAAAUGUGAACCCGAUUCAUUACUGAUACUGCAUCUAAAAUUAAGCAAAUGCUUAUAGGCUUUAUAAUAAGAGGGCAACAGUGAACGCUUUGCUUUGUGCACGCUGGCUCCCGAGAGUACUGCAGUAUCAAUGCUGUACAAACCAAUUAAUUCAUACGGAAUCUCUCUGAGAAUUUAUGGACUAGGAUGACUUCAUCAUUGCUUAUAAUUACUUUCAUAGCCCUUGGGUUACUUCUAAAUUAGCUAAAACCAGAGAAAAUAAAGUACUGUGUGUCAACCCGGGACAGGAAAGAUGUACUGUCUUAAGCUGAACAGGUCCGUAUAGCGAGGUAGCAUUAAAACGCUAAUGCAUGGAUUUGGAAACUUUACGCUGCCCCUGUCAAAACGGAACCGGAGGUAAUCAGUCAUUCCGGUGCCCAAUCUUGUGCAAAACACUUCAUUGAGGUGUUUAACGUAUGCUGCCGAGUCUAUUUCGCGUGUUGGAUCUUGUCAAUUGUGUGUAAGCUGAACGUUGCAUAUGUUAGCAGGCAUGCUAUACCCAGACUUAUUUCCCCCCCUGAGGGUCGAUUCUUGAGAUUCUCAAUAUGCUGUGGAAGAACAGAUUUGAUUUAAAGACUUGCCUUUUAAUUCAUGAAGUGGAAAAAACAUUGCCCCCGAGAUAACAAAGGACAUAGACCAAGGAACACCGUUUCCCUGCAAAUUGAAUGUCGUCUGCUAUAACACAUCGCCUCAGUUGUCCUCUUCGACAAACUUUUGGCUUCUGGCUACGAAAAGACAAUACAAACAAGAUUACAAAAAGGAGCCAGCAUUACAAAAUCCCGCUUUGAAUCCUCUGAGUUUGACACAGAACCUUUCCCAACUUCCCCCAAGGUUCAGACGACACAUCGACAGUGAAACAGAGCUUGUGGGUUAAUUAUUUCAUCGAGCAGAUGUUAAACUUUCGUGCUCUGGGUUUUAUAUAAUUCUUUUUUAUCUCUCAAAUCCCUGUAGUGUAAUUACAGCGGUAAAACCAUUUACUCAUUAGCAUAGUUAUGCAAUCUGAACUAAUGAACUGUGCUGGAAUCACAUUGAAAGUGAGAGUGUAUGCACUUCAGAUGACUGCUGCGUGCUUCUGGUUUUGUAAGACAUCAUAGACGCUCACGUAUUCAUGCAGAAACAGCCUGAAUCAUUAGCAGAGACCUCCUGUGCUCAUUUACUGCAAUCCAUCUCCAAUCUCAACUCCACGGGAAUCGUUAAACACGACUCCAAAGGAUUCCACGCUGUGAAUAUCCCCUGUCAUUUCAUUGUACGUCCUGCAGCAGAACUCCAUUUCCAUCAUUGCAAGCCUCUCUCUGGGCACGUCAGAGUCCAGUCGAUACAGGCGUAGAGAAAAGCAGUGGCCUGUAAUUGUCGUGCUGUGCUUUUGACAGUCCUUAACACUCAAAUGGACAACCCCCGUCUAGAAUAAAGACCCGUGGCUCUCACAGCAUUGGGUGUCACUGUCUGGCACCGUGAUCAGCUGGGUGUCAGGUCUUGUCAGUGAUCUGACACUGGGGAUAAGAAUGCAUGGGCAGAGAAACCAACACUACCCGUGAGAUGUGCCUGCUGCCUGUACCCCAGACACUAUCAUGUAGUCGAAGCUGGCGGACUCCUAUCUUCUGCAUUAGUGCUGGGAACAGAGAUAAGCUGCUCUAAAAUGGAGAGAGAGAUCGUCAGAGCUGGUCGUUGUUGUGAAAGAUUAGGAACACCCAUCCUCAGAGCUGGGCAAAGCUUUCAUUUGUCCACUGUGCUCGACUAGGCCCCUUUCUCCCACUUGCAAUUUCAACAUUUGAGAAAAGUUCUGAUUAUAGCUGCCCGGGGUUUUUCUUUAUCUUUUUGUUUUUGCAGCGUGGGAAGGGUGGGAAGAAAGGUCCUAAUAAUUGCAGCUCGACAGCUUUAAUUAUGGCAGAACGUUUGGCAGAGAAUUCAUAACAUGCAUUGGUCUUUUCCUUUUCAGGGUUUUGGUGCUAACCGCUCUGCGAACAAUGAAAACAACGAUUCCGGUUUAAUUGUUUUCCUGCGUGACCCGAGUGGGGAAGCAUAUUCAUCAGUGAUCUACAUUCAUUAUAUCCACACAUGCAGCACAAAAUGCAAUUUUAACUUGAAGAUACAAAACAGAUAUUCAGAAAUGGUCUUUUAUGCUUUUUAAACUCUAAUAAUACGACCUACAUAAUCAUCUCACACUGCAUUAGAAAUCAUAAGAUGAUGAUAUUGAAGCUUUCUUAACUUUCACACCUGGUUCUUCACAGUUACUCAACAUGAGUGCUGCAUCUAAGCUUUAUUCUCCCCAACAGACCAUAAUCUAAUGUUUCGUCUCCACACCAGCUUAUGGGCCAGCAACAGCUGGUGAUAUCACCUUGCCCCAUCUGCCAAAUGAUAUUGGCUAUCACCAUACCUGCCCACAAGACCUUGGGCAUUAUUCUGUCUUCCUCUCUUUACGUAUAUAGCGGUAUUUAUGAGUACUUGGCGCCGUAUCAGAUCAACAGUUUUGUGGCUGCCUCCCCACCAAAAUACAUUUAAAAAAGUUGUUUGUCAGCCACCAUCCUGAAUGUUACAGGUGAUCUUUCUGGAAACAAUUAAAGGUGCCCUAGAAUCAAAAAUUUAAUUUACCUUGGCAUAGUUGAAUAACAAGAGUUCAGUACAUGGAAAUGACAUACAGUGAGUCUCAAACACCAUUGUUUCCUCCUUC
Megalobrama amblycephala (Wuchang bream) is the source of this 3075-nucleotide long non-coding RNA. RefSeq lists it as uncharacterized. NCBI's taxonomy places the organism in Eukaryota, Metazoa, Chordata, Actinopteri, Cypriniformes, Xenocyprididae. The record is from RefSeq and is a predicted model, not a curated record. The transcript has 3 exons.